RNAcentral lists this long non-coding RNA (782 nucleotides) under Salmo salar (Atlantic salmon). RNAcentral's name for it is "lncRNA (ENSSSAG00000103693.1)". The record is from RNAcentral. Lineage: Eukaryota; Metazoa; Chordata; Actinopteri; Salmoniformes; Salmonidae.
GUGAGGCGCUGUUGCUCUUCUCUCUUCUUUGCCUCCUGAACGGGACGGUUUAGCGUCACCCCCGGCGGCGAUGUAACGGUUCACGGUGAGGUCAGGUGGCGGGGUUGGGAGGGAGUUACGCAACGUAACGAGCGUGACUGCCGGGGUGGUUGCUGAGUUCAAGGUGCUUUCCUCGAAUGAACGAAAGAACGAACAACGUCAUCGCCGUAGACCACUGCGGAGCCUUGACAGGGAGCUCUGGGGCGGAGGAAGGAAGGGAGGAAGGAAAGUAGGAAGAACGUGAUGAUCCAUGGCGCGGAACCUGUAGUGACGAUCCAGGGCACGGAGCCUCCUGAGAUGGUCCACAGUCCGGAACCACCUGAGACAACCCACAGUCCGGAACCUCCAGCGUCGUUCCCCAGUCCGGAACCUCCAGCGACGGUCCGCAGCCCGGAGUCUUCAGCGACGGUCCGCAGCCCGGAGUCUUCAGCGACGGUCCGCAGCCCGGAGUCUUCAGCGACGGUCCGCAGCCCGGAGUCUUCAGCGACGGUCCGCAGCCCGGAGUCUUCAGCGACGGUCCGCAGCCCGGAGUCUUCAGCGGCGGUCUGCAGUCCAUGGGCUCCAGCGGCGGUCUGCAGUCCGGAGUCUCCAGCGGCGAUCUGCAGUGCAGUGCCUCCGGCGCUGAUCCACAUUCCGGUUCCUCCUCCGACAAUCCACAGUCCGGCAAUACAAAAGUGGAGGGAUCAGCGGUCGGAGUGGGGGCUACGCCCCGAACCGGAGCCGCCACCAAGGGUAGAUGCCCA